Molecule: long non-coding RNA, 1588 nt
Organism: Cervus elaphus (red deer)
Lineage: Eukaryota; Metazoa; Chordata; Mammalia; Artiodactyla; Cervidae
Exons: 3
Source: RefSeq, a predicted model, not a curated record
GUCAGAUACACUCACAUUCUACUCCUAAACUGGAAAAAGAAAAGCCGAGAGAAUGUGGCUAUGAAAACAAAGGCGCAGUUUUCCUUUCACACCUCCAUUUACAAAGAACAAGGAAGGACUACUGGCUGUUGUACUUCUGAAGAGGAGACAGUGAAGGGUACACAGCAAAGUUCAGAAGACGUUCCAUCCUGGCAAAUGAGUUCAUGAAGAUGGCUGGAUGAAUGGCAGGUUCAGUGAACAGUGUGAACAGCAAGACAAUUGGCAUCAGGAACAGGAUCAGUGUGACAACAGGGCAAACUAAAAUAAAAAUCAGUCACCAUCUUUGUGGAUAUUCUUCUUAAGCAGAGCUCAAAGAGUACCACAGAGCCAUUGAGCGCAUCUUCCCCAGGAUGAAGCUGCAUCACUAAGGAUUCCAGGCCAAGAACAGAGUGGAAGAGAAAAUCCUAUUGCUUCAGCCGGAGAAUUUCAAAGAAGAUCCAGCCCUCCCACUUUUCACCUAAGAGAAUGUGACCAUGUUGGAAAGCAACACAUAUAGACAAUAUUGGAUGGGCUUUUUUUCCAAGGGGCAAAGCACAUAGGAAAACAACUAUGGAAUCUAAAUGAAGAGAACUGACCAUGAAACUGUACCUUGGACCAAUUUACUGAGUGUUAAUUGGUUUAAAAAAUGUGUUUAGAGAGUUCAGAUUUGCCAAAGUAGUUAUCAACAUGGAAAGUGCCAUUUCAACCAAUAGUUAAAACUACUUAAUUAAGAAGAUGGAUUUCUCAGGUGUCUCAGUGGUAAAGAAUCCUCCUGCCAAAGCAGGAGACAUGGUUUGAUUCAUGGGUUGGCAAGAUCCCCUGGAGUAGAAAAUGGCAACCCACUUCAGAAUUUUUGCCUGAAACAUCCUAUGGACAGAGAAGCUUGGUGAGCUCCAUGGGACCCCAUGAGUCCAUGUGACUGCAGAGAGUCAGAAACAACUGAGCAUAAAUACAAUUAGGAAGAUAAAAUUUUCUUUGAUAAAAUUUUAAGAAAACUGGUUCAAAACAUAGUUUUUUGUAAUAUAUCUGAAUGUCUUACCUGAGUUAGAUACUUGGAUCAUGUGUCAAAAAAAUUAAAAGGCUAAACAUUCUGUUAGUACAUGGUGAUUCUAGAGCAUGUAUACUAAGAAUAGGAAAAGUAUAAUUAACUGUAGUGUUACUAUAAAGUAACUUGAUGUCUAAAUCACUAAUCUUUGUACUCAAGUUGUAUAUAAAGACUUGGCCAUGUUACCAAUAAUAUGUCUGAAUCCUCUCCUAUAUUUCCAACUGCCUGCUUGAUAUCAUCAUUUGACCAUCUGAUAAUAACCUGAGCUUAAUAUGUACCAAACCAUGUAAAUUACUCUUAUAGUCUUUCCGAUCUUAAUUAGCAACCAGUUCAGUCCUCAGGUCAAUAUAUCUUGCUAUCAUUCUUGAUGUCUUUCUUAUACCCCCAUAUAUUGUUCACGAGACAAUCUCAUCAGCUCUAUAUCUGAAAUAUAUUCCAGAUUUGACUACCUCUAACUACUCGCAUCUGCAUAUCUGAGGUUAUUGAUAUUUCUCCCGGCAAUCUUGAUUCCAGCUUGUGCUUUUU